CAGUAGCCGCGGGAAUACGUAGGGGGCGAGCGUUGUCCGAAGUUACUGGGCGUAAAGCGCGCGUAGGCGGCUUCUUAAGUCUGAGGUGAAAGGUUCAACGCUUAACGUGAACAGUGCCUUGGAUACUGGGGUGCUUGAGUAUGGGAGAGGGCAGUGGAAUGGCUGGUGUAGCGGUGAAAUGCGUAGAUAUCAGUCGGAACACCAAUGGCGAAGGCAGCUGCCUGGCCUAAUACUGACGCUGAGGUGCGAAAGCGUGGGGAGCGAACGGGAUUAGAUACCCGGGUAGUCCCUGUCUCUUAUA
This 301-nucleotide ribosomal RNA is filed under the name uncultured bacterium. RNAcentral's name for it is "partial 16S ribosomal RNA". It matches the Rfam family "Bacterial small subunit ribosomal RNA", at positions 509 to 808 of the family's 1533-position model. The record is from RNAcentral.